RNAcentral lists this transfer RNA (73 nucleotides) under Pleodorina starrii. RNAcentral's name for it is "tRNA-Pro". The record is from RNAcentral. Lineage: Eukaryota; Viridiplantae; Chlorophyta; Chlorophyceae; Chlamydomonadales; Volvocaceae.
UGGGAGCUUGCCUAGUGGUAUAUUUCUCGCUUCGGGUGCGAGAGGCCUCGAGUUCGAUUCUCGCAACUCCCCU